This 3513-nucleotide long non-coding RNA is filed under the name Takifugu rubripes (torafugu). RNAcentral's name for it is "lncRNA (ENSTRUG00000029188.1)". Lineage: Eukaryota; Metazoa; Chordata; Actinopteri; Tetraodontiformes; Tetraodontidae. The record is from RNAcentral.
AUGGUAAACCAAGGACCAAUAGAGAACAGUGCCAUCAGUCCAGACAAAUCCGCCAGGCAGUCGGUGUCGUCCGACAAGGCCUUAUCUGACGGGGCAGAGUCUCAGAAUAACGCGGAUUCUGGUCCAAACACCGGAGAUGUCAGACAAGAUGACAUAGAGAAACGAGUUUGUGUGAACAAAGAUGGCAGUUUGUCUAUGGAAAUGAAGGUGCGCUUCCGGCUACAGAAUAAAGAAACAUUACAUUGGUCAACAAAAGUGAGGAAGACAAGAGACAAGAGCAGUGAAUACCUCAGGAGACACAAUUUUGCACAAGUUAGUGAUAUAAACUAUUCUGAAUCUGAAAACAUCUCCGUCGGAGACCAUGAUGAGGAUUAUAUGGACGGGUGCCACCACAGACACAGGGAGGAACCUCAGUGCCCUCACUGCCAGGAAUACGACGUCUGGAAGAAAAUCCCAGAAACACACGGGGCCAGUCGUUGCUUUCAUACCUCCAGCUCAAGCGCAUCUUCCCACACCGUGGUCUCCAGGAAGAUGCAGAUCGAAAGGCAGACCCUGUCCCGAUCAAGCGAUGAAAACGCAGAGCAAGUGGUGGAGAGUGAGACCUGUGUGGAGACUGUGGAGUACCGCACUGUCCAGAGUGAAAACUGCUCUCCAAAAUCCUCCACCGUGGAUAACAAUCAGGAUCAAGCAGCAUCCACACCGAGCUCUCUGCCUGAAGUAUUGGCAGACUUCAAGGACCAAAGUGAUGAAGCUCCACCAAGCGAUGAAGGAUCACCAACACAAUCAGGCUCUCUGAGUCCCACAGAGGCAGCAUCUAAUGCUUCAAGCAAGUCCAGAAAGUCCAAGAGAUCAUACUCUUGUAAAUGCAAAGCUUCUAAUGAGCAAGAAGGUGAUGAAAAGGAAAGAAUCGAGGCUGAGGACACCAAUAUACAGAGAGAUCAAACAAGUGCCAUGUCUGUUAAAUCAAAUUCCUCUGGCCAAUCACAGAAUUCGCAAGAAAUGCAGAAUGAGGAGUGUGGAGAUUCAACGGCGAACAGAUCCAGAAGUGCCAUGUCAGUUCAUUCAGAUGCCUCCAAUGUUGUCGAUGUUACAGAAGAAGAAAGUCAAAAUGAAGAGGAAAAAGAAAGUCGUGUGUCUGAGGAUUCAGAUAAAACUGGUCCUGGUGAAGAAGACGCUGAAGCAGGAACUGGGAGGGGAUCACCGAGCAACGUGUCGCUGUCAGCAAAGUCCGGUAUCUCUGUGUCUUCAAGGAACACUGAACUUCCUUUACCAGAGAGCAGUGGAAAUGUGCAAAGGUCACCCAGCGCCCUUUCAGUUAAAUCUGUCAGGUCUGACAGGUCUGCACGUUCAGUGAAGUCAAAAGCUUCAAAACUCUCUGAUAACUCAGAGGGUUUUGGAGAUGAUGUUGUGGAAAGCAACAAUGACACCGUAGGGAGAGCAAAGAGCUCGCUGUCAACCAGUUCCAGGAGGACCAACGUGACAUCUGCAUCUGCAAAAUCAAAGAGAUCUCAAGAGACUGAUCGAACUCAAAGUGUAAUGUCAAAUAAAUCAGAUGGGAAAUCAAACCAUUCUCAAAUCACUGAAAUUUCUGCUGAGGGAAAUGCAGUAGAUGAUGAAAGUGAAGGGAGAACCCCGAGCACCGUGUCAACCAAAGCACAGUCCAAUUUGUCUCUGAGGUCGACAAAAUCAAAAGUUUCACAGCUGACAACGGUCACUCAGCCCGAAGAGCUCGAUAGGAGUGUUAAAUCAGUGAAAACAAAUAUUUCGGCAAGAUCUUUGAAUACCGAUGUGUCUGUGGCUAACUAUGAAGAAACAAGGGAUCGCGCAGAUAUUUCUAUCACCAAAAGCUCAUGCACUGGUAGUGAUGCAGACACUGAAGUGACAUCAGAGAAGGCUACAAGUAUCACACCAGCCAAGUCAAAUGGAUCAGUCCGAUCUAAGAAAUCAACUGUAAACACAGCUGAAAAUACCCAUGACAUGGGGAGAACUCUCAGUCCAUCUGCGGCAAAAUCCCCUCGUCAAGAAGGGGUUUCUCCAGCCUUGUCCUCAAAAUCCAGGUUGUCCGUGCAAUCGAAGACAUCAAAAGCAUCUAAAGGGACAGAAAAGAAAAGUUCUUUAUCUGGUAAUUCCAAGGUGAAAUCACAAAAAUCGAACAAAACUGAUAUUUUGACAGUGGAACACGUGGAAAAUCAUGAGGAGGAUGCAGAACCAAACCAGAACCAAAAGCCGGUGAUUUGUCGUGCAGAUUCGGGUGAAACAGAUUUGUCACAAACCCUGUCGAGUUCAGACUUUGUAAAAGAAAAAGAUGAAGUUCGGUCCACUGAAACAAAACAAGGCUCAGACUUGGGGAGGAAAUCUGUUGACAAGAAAAGUGACAGAAGCAGCAAACGCAGGACAGAGGACGUAAACGAUGAGGACGUCAAUCUGGUCCCGUCGAAUUUACCAAACGCAUCCCCGACUGAGGUGGUGAACGAAUGGCUGAAAACGCUACCGGCAGAUGGCGACAUGUAUGACGUGGAGGGACUACACGAAGCCUGCAACAGAGAGAAAAGUGGCCACACAGCUGGAGAAAAAGGGGAAGAAGAAAAUGGCGACACAGCAGCUGAAAACAUAACGGACACGGGAGAAGAAGCAACAAAGAACGCAAGUGUCGAAGCAGUGAAUCCAGUGGAUGUCUGUGCUGAAGAAGAUGACGCCACAAAAAUAUUUAACUCCUCCAUUCAGGUGAUGAAGGUUCUCUUAAACCCCAAACCUGACAGAUGUAACAGUUUACCUGAAGUGUCUCCAGUCUAUGGACGUAAGCUGAGCAAUUCAGCCAGGGGCCUUCUAGAUAGCCUUGUGAAGCUGCAGUUAAUCGACAACAACCCCAAAAAUGCAGAUGAAAAGGAUGCAAGAUAUCAGGAACUCAUGAACAUCCUUCAGUCUCUCUGGCUCUGCGUUCCAACAGAGAAAGAGCACGUGCUGAGGAAGGAGGUGGAUGAUGAAUGCAUCCAUACAUCCUCAUCCGGCGUGGAUGUCAACAGCGGCUCGACGGGCUCGGGCAAAAGUAGCGACGGUGUUAAUACUGAUACAUCUCAAACCAACGCAGCUCCAAAUAUGUUGAAAGACACGCAAGAAGGCUGUGAGAGGAAGGAACAAUCAGAGGCACGGUGGGCCUGUGAGAAAGAAACUGAGGUAAUAUGCGAGCAAAAAGAGGAAGAUCAAGCCACAAAUGAAACGAUCAGAAGCAACGACAGUCCAAGAGAGGAUCCCGAGUCGCCGCCUUCUCCAAACCAGAGCUCUGGAUGCGACAGUGGUGACCAAAAACCUCCAGAGGAUGCUGACACAGUGGACAGUCAUUAUGAAGGACCUCUGCUCUUUCAAAAUGCAGAUCCAGCCAAAAAGAUUUCCCAAGACCCUGACCCUGUCUGGGUCCUAACCUUGCUAACCAAAAUAGAAAAGCAAUUCAUGAAACAUUACAUCAAUGCGAUGAAGGAGUUCAAAGUCCGAUGGAAUUUAGAUGAUAACGACCAG